RNAcentral lists this long non-coding RNA (4981 nucleotides) under Medicago truncatula (barrel medic). Its description in RNAcentral is "long non-coding RNA (MTRU_LNC006999)". The record is from RNAcentral. Lineage: Eukaryota; Viridiplantae; Streptophyta; Magnoliopsida; Fabales; Fabaceae.
GAGAGAUUUGCUAGUGAAGGAGGUAGCUGACCUUUAAGAAUAUUGGCAGACAAAUCAAGAUGAGUGAGUUUGGAGAGGUUUCCUAGUGAAUGAGGUAGCUGACCUUCAAGAUUAUUGUAAGACAUGUUAAGAUGAGUGAGCUUGGAGAGAUUUCCUAGUGAAGAAGGUAUCUCACCUUUGAAUCUAUUGUUAAAUAGAUCUAAGAAAGUGAGAUUUUUUAGCAACCACAAUUCAGGAGGUAGCUGACCUUCAAGAAAAUUGGCAGACAAAUCAAGAUGAGUGAGUUUAGAGAGAUGACCAAUUUCUUUUGAGAUAGUCCCUUCUAGUGUAAUUUUUCUUAGAACAAGGCUUUCUAGAUUUUUGAAACAAGCCAAGUUGAGAGUAGACAAGUUGCGUGUUUUAAAAUCAUACUCCCAGGCAGCGUAUGUAGAAUCAUCAGAGUCUAUCUUAAUUGCUAUUAUGCUUCCAGCAUCGUUGCAAAAUAUACCAUGCCCAUGACAACGAUCAGAGAUAUUGAAGUUUGCAUCAGAAGUGUUCCACCAUCCACUAUUUAAUAUAGCAUUUGCUUCCAUUUGAAGUUGAUGAGAUGUCAUUGUGGCAGAUUGAGUUCCCUCAACCAAACCACAAAUUAUAAGAAGAAAGACCAUCCACAUUUUUGGACCAAAGAAAUUUGAAACUAAAUAUUUUAUCAAGUUCAUAUUUUUUCUAUGAGAUGUGAUGAAUGACCAUCAAAAACCUUUAUGAUGUUGUGUUAACCCACUUAUUUCUUUUCUUUUUGAGCGCUGGACCUUUUAUUUCUAUUUUCUAAGGACCUUUUUUUUUAAAGUACCUUUAAAAAAGAUCCAUGUGUUUCUCACUUAUUUUACUUUUUUGUUAGAUUAUAAUCAUGGGAACUUUUGAUUUAUUGCUUCUUCCGGUAGGCCAAACAAAAGGUGGAUUCAAAUCGACUCUAUAACAUCAAUCUGUUAUCAUUAAAAAAAAAAUCAGUUUGAAUCCUGACCGGAGAAAUUAUUAAGAAGACUUGCUUGUUGGACCAGUUUAUGAUAAUAGAACAUUAUGACGUAAUUUGAUCCAAGUAGCCGACCCCACUUAGUGGGAUAAGACUUGGUUGUCGUUAUUGUUGUUAAAUCCUGGCUGGAACAAUCCUUGGCUAGACAUUACCUACCUUCUAGCUGAACUCCGGAUUAUCUAAGACCCUUUCUCCUAAGAACCGAAGGGUUAAGACCACAAAAACAUGCAAGCCAUAUCCCACUAAUUGGGGUCGACUACAUUGAUCAAAUUAAGCCUUAAUGUUCAAUCAUAAACCAUAUUUUAAUCCAACUCAUUAAUCUAAUGAUUUUUCUAAAUAGUUUCUCUUAUAGUUUUUUAGGUCUACCUCUGCCUCUAGCAAUCUGACUAUCUUCCAUCUUAUCUACUCUCCUUACUAUAGCAUCUACAAGUUUUCUCUCAACAAGUCCAAACAACCUAAUUCUAGUUUUCCUCUCCUUACUGUCAUCUAAAAGUCUUCUCUCUACACAAAAAACAUUUCUCUCUUAAAAAUUAAAAAUCAGACUUGAUAUCAAUUUGGUGAUAUUUUUGGCCUUCUGCCAUCGACAACACCGAUUUUAUUGAAAAAAAACGUUAUUUUUUGUGAUCCACAAUUGACAACAGUGGUCUAUAUUGCACACUUGUACUUGCUAGUUUAAAACAAUAGUAGUAUACUCAACUUUAAGCAUUCACUGCUCUUGAUGUUGUCUGUACUUGACUUCUCAAUAUGGUAUAUCGGUGUUGUCAAAUAGCAAUGUUCCGAAAUUUGAACAAAUUGCUAUUGUUUCGGGAUAUGCUAUUUAGUUCUAAGUGUGGCCAAAUGUCAACUAUAACGGCGACAUACCACUAUAGCGUUGUGGAAUUUAAAGGUUUAAAUAAAUUGGUAUUAUUCUGCAAUACACUUUUUGUACCAACUGUUGUCAAAUUGUGGCUAUAGCACUGUAGUGUAAUUUGGACUCGUUAGUUUCAUGCUCCUUUAUGCAGUAGCAAUUCACUCACCUUUGAACAUUUUAUGUGUUUAAUACCAAUCAUUCUAUGCCGAAUUUUUAAUGGAACGCUGGAGUUUGAAUACGAGUGAAAUUUUGGGAGUUUUGAGUCCCAUAGCUUUCUGGAGUGAAAUAUUCGAACAAUGGAUUGAAGCUAAUGAGGAAGCAAGAGAAAAAAUGUUUAGAGACAUAUUGGCUAAAAGAACAGCAGAAUAAGAAUGCCAUUCCUGAUAUCCUUAGCCACUUGCUCUCAUUGCACUCAAGCUAAUGAGGAAGCUAACUAGUAAGGCAAUGCAUCUGAUAAUAAUCACCAAGUACAUCAAGUAAUUUUUUUUGUUGAAUUUGUAAACCUUGAGAUAUUGAUUGAAUCAAUUGCAAUACCUUUAUCUUUUAAUUCAGUUAACAUAAUAAUUGAAACAGAAGUAAUUCAAUUUUAUACAAAAACAGAAAUGUGAAUACAUAUAUACUUAUGUUUGAUGUAUCACAACAACAAAGUUUUACAGCAUUUUUCAACAACUUUUGGGGAAAAAAAGGCAAUGUCUUUAUUAUUGAAUAAUAACACACUCAACUUAAUUCAUUCUGAAGUUCUCUUUCAAGGGUUCGCAAUAUAAAACAAUGCUUUGAGUUCUUCACUCAUUAGUUGCUGCACUGAAAUUUCACUGAAAGGAAUACUUAAUCGUGGAAGCUCGGUGACAAAACUUUGCGACACACAUUUCAUUGUUGGUCGAGAACGAGGAUUGACAUUUAAGCAUGCAAAGGCAACAACGGCAAAAUGAAUUAUGUUACGUAUAACCAUUUCAUUAUUUGGAAGUGGAAGACGCUGGUCUAAUACUUGACAUAGUUUGACACUUUGUGUCGAUGUUGAUUGAAGUGAUGACAAUAAAUCCCCAGGGUGCCUUCCAGCUAAAGUUUCAAGUGCCACUACACCAAAACUAUAUACAUCACACUUUUCAUUCACAGCCAUAGUAUAGGCAAGUUCUGCAUUGAUCAAAUUAUAUAAUGAGCAUUUAAAAGAAUCCAAAGAAAAUAAUUUAAAAUUACUACUUAGCAUGAAAAACUAAUGAACAUGUAUGUUAUUAAUGAGGAGUUAUGAAUAUGCACGAUGAGCAUAAUACAAAAAUGAAGAAAACAACCGAAUAUGAAAAGAAAAAAUAUCAAUGGUUAAUUUACCCGGAGCUAUAUAUCCAAUAGUUCCAGCAACUAUAGUUCGAUUGGAUGAAUCAUAUUGAAGGAGUCGAGCUGUGCCGAAGUCACAAACACUGGCCUGCCACUCAGAGUUUAGCAAGAUAUUGCUAGUAGAUACAUCUCGAUGCACUAUUGGAGCAGUGCAAUCAUGAUGAAGAUAUGAAAGAGCAAAUGCAACUCCUUUAAUAGUGUUAACUCUUUUUCUCCACUUGAAUUGCAGGGCUUCUACAUCAUCAUACAAGACAGAGAAUAAGCUUCCUCUAUCCAUGUAUUGAUAGAUCAAAAACAUGAUUCUUUUGUGCAAGCAGAAACCAUAAAGCUUCACGAUAUGUUUGUGCUUUAUUUCUGUUAAAAUUCUCACUUCAUUUCUGAAACUCUCAUCAAAAGAUGGAACCUCUGCUUCAUAGCCGUGAAGUUUCUUUAAGGCAACAACCUUGCCACUUGGUAAUUGUGCCUUGUAAACACUUCCAUAUGCUCCUGUUCCAAUACAAUAUCUCAUGUCAAAGUCUUCUGUCGCUUUGAUUAUGUCAUCAUAUGCUAUCAUUCCAUCAUAAUUCCAUAUACAAAACAUAUCUCCAUUCUUUGUUUUUGUUGAGUUUCCAUGCAACUUCUUAGAAGAAUUAUGAUGAAGAUUUAAACAUAUGAGAAGUAAGAAGACUAUGACUAGAAUAAUAAGUAUCGGAAUAACAAUGACAACAAUGUGCUUUAAUUUAUUAUUUUUCUUGUGUGGUGACCAAGGUUGGAACUGGUUAAAUGAACAUACAUCAGAAUUUUCGAUCUUCGUUGUAUGAAGACAAUUUGGAAUGGGACCCUUCAAACAAUUGUAUGAAAUGUCCACAUAAAUGACUUUACAGAGAGAUUGGGGAAUUGUUCCAGUGAGAUUAUUAUUUCUUAAAGUAAGUUGUUGAAAAUAUCCAAGCUCAGAAGGUAUUUCACCACUAAUGUGGUUGUGACUGAGGUCCAUGGAAGUUUCAUAAUCAAUAAAUGGAAACAAAUUGGAAGGAAGCGUACCGAUGAGUAAAUUGUGGGAAAUGUCAAGGGUUUUUAAUGAAAUUGGAAAGAUCCCACCAAUGGAAUUUCUACUUAACAACAAAACUUGCAAUUUGGUUAAUUGAUCAAAGUUAUAUGGAAGGAAACCAGUGAAAAAAUUAUAUGAGCAGUUAAGGUAUAUUAAUUGUGUGAGAUUUUUAAGAGAAAUAGGCAGGUUUCCAUUGAGUCUAUUGUGAGACAGAUCUAAUGUAGUGAGAUUUUUCAGUAACCCCAACUCAAAAGGAAGGAAACCUUGAAUGUUGUUGUUAGAAAUCUCUAGGGACUCUAAAGAUCUAAGAUUUCCUAUUGAAGGAGGUAUCUUACCUACAAGAGAAUUGCCAUAAAUAACAAGAUGAGUGAGUUUGGAGAGGUUUCCUAGUGAAGGAGGUAGCUGACCUUUAAGAAAAUUGACAGACAAAUUAAGAUGAGUGAGUUUGGAGAGGUUUCCUAGUGAAGGAGGUACCUGACCAUCAAGAAAAUUGACAGACAAAUCAAGAUGAGUGAGCUUGGAGAGAUUUCCUAGUGAAGGAGGUACCUGACCUGCAAGAAGAUUGUUAGACAAAUCAAGAUGAGUGAGUUUGGAGAGGUUUCCUAGUGAAUGAGGUACCUGACCUACAAGUUUAUUGUAAGAGAUGUCAAGAUGAGUGAGCUUGGAGAGAUUUCCUAGUGAAGGAGGUACCAGACCUAUAAGAAGAUUGUUAGACAAAUCAAGAUGAGUGAGCUUGGAGAGAUGACCAAUUUCUUUUGGGAUAGUC